RNAcentral lists this non-coding RNA (72 nucleotides) under Parachlamydia acanthamoebae. The record is from RNAcentral. Lineage: Bacteria; Pseudomonadati; Chlamydiota; Chlamydiia; Parachlamydiales; Parachlamydiaceae.
AACCGCCGUAUGCGGAACCGCACGUACGGUGGUGUGAGAGGACGGAGGGGGCAACUUCUCCUCCUACUCGAU